UAGGGAAUCUUCCGCAAUGGACGCAAGUCUGACGGAGCAACGCCGCGUGAGUGAAGAAGGAUUUCGGUUCGUAAAACUCUGUUGUUAGAGAAGAACAGCGCAUAGAGUAACUGUUAUGCGUGUGACGGUAUCUAACCAGAAAGCCACGGCUAACUACGUGCCAGCAGCCGCGGUAAUACGUAGGUCCCGAGCGUUGUCCGGAUUUAUUGGGCGUAAAGCGAGCGCAGGCGGUUAGAUAAGUCUGAAGUUAAAGGCAGUGGCUCAACCAUUGUAGGCUUUGGAAACUGUUUAACUUGAGUGCAGAAGGGGAGAGUGGAAUUCCAUGUGUAGCGGUGAAAUGCGUAGAUAUAUGGAGGAACACCGGUGGCGAAAGCGGCUCUCUGGUCUGUAACUGACGCUGAGGCUCGAAAGCGUGGGUAGCAAACAGG
RNAcentral lists this ribosomal RNA (428 nucleotides) under Bacteroidota bacterium. RNAcentral describes it as "Bacteroidetes bacterium partial 16S ribosomal RNA". It matches the Rfam family "Bacterial small subunit ribosomal RNA", at positions 355 to 776 of the family's 1533-position model. Lineage: Bacteria; Pseudomonadati; Bacteroidota. The record is from RNAcentral.